AUGAACGCUGGCGGCGUGCCUAAUACAUGCAAGUCGAGCGAACAGAUGAGGAGCUUGCUCCUCUGACGUUAGCGGCGGACGGGUGAGUAACACGUGGAUAACCUACCUAUAAGACUGGGAUAACUUCGGGAAACCGGAGCUAAUACCGGAUAAUAUAUUGAACCGCAUGGUUCAAUAGUGAAAGACGGUUUUGCUGUCACUUAUAGAUGGAUCCGCGCCGCAUUAGCUAGUUGGUAAGGUAACGGCUUACCAAGGCAACGAUGCGUAGCCGACCUGAGAGGGUGAUCGGCCACACUGGAACUGAGACACGGUCCAGACUCCUACGGGAGGCAGCAGUAGGGAAUCUUCCGCAAUGGGCGAAAGCCUGACGGAGCAACGCCGCGUGAGUGAUGAAGGUCUUCGGAUCGUAAAACUCUGUUAUUAGGGAAGAACAAAUGUGUAAGUAACUAUGCACGUCUUGACGGUACCUAAUCAGUAAGCCACGGCUAACUACGUG
This 496-nucleotide ribosomal RNA is filed under the name uncultured bacterium. RNAcentral describes it as "partial 16S ribosomal RNA". It matches the Rfam family "Bacterial small subunit ribosomal RNA", at positions 29 to 507 of the family's 1533-position model. The record is from RNAcentral.